UUGCUUGAAUAGAUUAGCAUGGAACAACGGAAGAGGACUUUUGGGCCUGUACUGUUGGCGUGUGGUGCGGGGGUGUGGAGUGAGAAACCGCAAGGUUUUCUUGUUCCUCCCUCACCACAUCGGGUCUGAAGUAAUGAUUAAUAGGGACGGUUGGGGGCACUGGUAUUUCGUUGUCAGAGGUGAAAUUCUUGGAUUUACGAAAGACCGCCGACUGCGAAAGCAUUUGCCAAGGACGCUUUCAUUGAUCAAGAACGAAAGUUAGGGGAUCGAAGACGAUUAGAUACCGUCGUAGUCUUAACCAUAAACGAUGCCGGCCAGGGCUCGGUGGGCAGCACAAACUUUUAUCAAGUGGAGGCGCCAUCGGGACCUUUAGGGAAACCAAAGCGUUUGGGUUCCGGGGGGAGUAUGAUCGCAAGAUUGAAACUUAAAGGAAUUGACGGAAGGGCACCACCAGGAGUGGAGCCUGCGGCUUAAUUUGACUCAACACGGGGAAACUCACCAGGUCCAGACAUGGGAAGGAUUGACAGAUUGACAGCUCUUUCUUGAUUCCAAGGGAGGUGGUGCAUGGCCGUCCAGCUUUUGUUGUGAAAUCUCUGUUUGAUUACGGUAAACGGCGAGACCUUGACUUGCUGAUUGGUGUGCGCCUGCGUUAGCAGGCGUUGGAGAUUACGCGCAAGCGUGUCUCUCAUCACACCACUCAGAGGGACACUCGGCGUUGCUAUUGAGCGUAAGCCGAAGGAAGUUUGAGGCGAUAACAGGUCUGUGAUGCCCUUAGAUGUUCUGGGCUGCACGCGCGCUACACUGACGGGGGCAGCGAGUAUGCUUUGGGUGUUUGUGGUGGGGAGCGUGAAAGCGUUUUUCUACGACAGACAUCUAUUCCUGCGCUGGAAGGCGUGGGGACUCUUGUGAAAACCCGUCGUGCUGGGGAUAGAUGCUUGCAAUUAUUCAUCUUGAACGAGGAAUUCCUAGUAAGCGCAAUUCAACAGAUUGCGUUGAUUACGUCCCUGCCCUUUGUACACACCGCCCGUCGCUACUACCGAUUGAAUGGUUUAGUGAGGCCUCGGGAUUGGCGCGUGGGCGCUGGCAACAGCUGCCCAUGUGUUUCUUUGCUGAGAACCUGGUCAAACUUGAUCAUUUAGAGGAAGUAAAAGUCGUAACAAGGUUUCCGUAGGUGAACCUGCGGAAG
This 1186-nucleotide ribosomal RNA is filed under the name Salpingoeca rosetta. RNAcentral describes it as "bacterial SSU rRNA". It matches the Rfam family "Eukaryotic small subunit ribosomal RNA", at positions 791 to 1823 of the family's 1831-position model. Lineage: Eukaryota; Choanoflagellata; Craspedida; Salpingoecidae. The record is from RNAcentral.